GACAGUUUAAUUCUUGAAGUAGUGCUUCCUAAUCUCGAAAUCCUACACAAUAUGGUGUAUUUUUCAACGAACUGCUAAUUCGAAAUGAUAUACACUGAACAAAUAAACUUAAAAUCUGUGUGGUAUGUGCAGUUCUAGUACUUCAUUCGUUUAAACCCCACGGUCUCUCAUCAUUCUUGUUUAUCUACAGAUGUAACUUUUACAAUGCAAAAAAUACUGCUAAUUUAGGGUUUGGGGUUUGAAACGAUAAAUCAAUUCCUCAAAUUAUCAAAACCACUCAUACGACAUAUCUGAUUUUAUCACAGCAAAAUCAGUUUUUUUUUAUCACUGAAUUCUUUUUUGGAGUAGUGAGCAGCGGUAAACUAAUCUGUGGCAAACUGUUUGUUUCAUUUAAUCUGUUGUUUACGCAUGUCUUUGCACUCGUAGCAGGAAACGGAACCGAACCUCAAGUCCAGUAUACGAUCAGUAGUCGUGGAACGCCGCUGCUAUUGCUCGACGGGUUCACCUUUACCAGGGAUAAGGAACGUAACAGUUUUACCUCGUGGAAAUGUGCUCAACAUCGCACGCACAGCUGCAAGGCUCGUGCCAACGCCGUCCGGGAUCGCAGUGGCCAAAAAAAAAUCGUAAUCAAACACUCGCACAAUCAUCCGCUCGUAACCGAGCGAAGAAAGAAAAGUUCCUCUAGAUAAAUAAAUGCGCUACUUCUAGUACCUCAGCCAUAGCUAACCGACAA
Long non-coding RNA from Aedes albopictus (Asian tiger mosquito), 733 nucleotides. RefSeq lists it as uncharacterized. Lineage: Eukaryota; Metazoa; Arthropoda; Insecta; Diptera; Culicidae. The transcript has 2 exons. The record is from RefSeq and is a predicted model, not a curated record.